RNAcentral lists this ribosomal RNA (343 nucleotides) under uncultured bacterium. RNAcentral's name for it is "bacterial SSU rRNA". It matches the Rfam family "Bacterial small subunit ribosomal RNA", at positions 1036 to 1381 of the family's 1533-position model. The record is from RNAcentral.
AGGUGCUGCAUGGCUGUCGUCAGCUCGUGUCGUGAGAUGUUGGGUUAAGUCCCGCAACGAGCGCAACCCUUAUCGUAUGUUGCCAGCAUUUAGUUGGGCACUCAUGCGAGACUGCCGGUGAUAAGCCGGAGGAAGGCGGGGANGACGUCAAGUCAUCAUGGCCCUUANGUGUGGGGCUAGAAACGUGCUACAAUGGGAGUGACAGUGAGCAGCUAGGUCGCGAGGCCAAGCUAAUCUCUAAAAGCUCUCUCAGUUCAGAUUGUAGUCUGCAACUCGACUACAUGAAGUUGGAAUCGCUAGUAAUCGCAAAUCAACAUGUUGCGGUGAAUACGUUCCCGGGUCU